Molecule: ribosomal RNA, 120 nt
Filed under: Dasypus novemcinctus (nine-banded armadillo)
Lineage: Eukaryota; Metazoa; Chordata; Mammalia; Cingulata; Dasypodidae
Source: RNAcentral
GGCUAUAGUACUAUGAACAUGUCUGAUAUAGAAACAUAUCUGAUCUCUAAAGCUAAUCUGGAUGGAGUUUGGUUGGUACUUGGAUGGGAGACUACUUGGGAAUACCAGGUGUUGUAGGCU